AUUGCAUUUACUGGGGAUCGAACCGGGUACCUAUCCCAUAUCCUUGCUUGUAAGCGUCUUUCCAACUGCGCUAUGAUAGCAUUUAGAUGAGCUGACGAAAUUUGGUUACUUAUUCUCGAGUAAGAAUUUAAAUAUCUAAUCUAAAGAGAAUAAAGUGUAUAGGGGACGUGCAUGAACUAUAGGGGGCAGCACAGGAGCCGUCAGAUCUUUGGCGCGAAGCGUAGAUGAAGAUUUUUUUUUUAAUACCACAUCGGUGGCAAACAAGCAUACGGCCCGCCUGAUGGUAAGCAGUCACCGUAGCCUAUGGACGCCUGCAACUCCAGAGGUGUUACAUGCGCGUUGCCGAUCUUUUAAAAACCUGUACACUCCUUUUUUGAAGAACCCCAUACUGUAGACCCUCGGGAAAACUCGGGAUUCCACAGCCGGAGCGUCCGCGGGAGGAAAUUCCUCUUAAAUAGCACAGUACGCGACCAUUUAGGUUCUAGGGUGUGAGGAUGAACACCCUGCCGGCGGCGAGCGGUGCGGUGAUAGAAAGCGGCCGUUGGCAUCAUGUCAAAUAAUUCCUCAGAGCACAGCCCAUUGUACAAGCGGUAGAACACACACAAGGAGGCAAAGUCUCUCCUUAGACUUAAAGGUUCAAUACCGCUUGUGAGUUUGGGAUCAUC
Cydia splendana is the source of this 665-nucleotide long non-coding RNA. RefSeq lists it as uncharacterized. The record is from RefSeq and is a predicted model, not a curated record. Lineage: Eukaryota; Metazoa; Arthropoda; Insecta; Lepidoptera; Tortricidae. The transcript is spliced from 2 exons.